RNAcentral lists this ribosomal RNA (265 nucleotides) under uncultured bacterium. RNAcentral's name for it is "partial 16S ribosomal RNA". It matches the Rfam family "Bacterial small subunit ribosomal RNA", at positions 333 to 612 of the family's 1533-position model. The record is from RNAcentral.
UUUUUCCUACGGGGCGCAGCAGUGGGGAAUAAUGGGCAAUGGGCGCAAGCCUGACCCAGCAACGCCGCGUGAAGGAAGAAGGCGUUCGGGUUGUAAACUUCUUUUCUCAGGGACGAAGCAAGUGACGGUACCUGAGGAAUAAGCCACGGCUAACUACGUGCCAGCAGCCGCGGUAAUACGUAGGUGGCAAGCGUUAUCCGGAUUUACUGGGUGUAAAGGGCGUGUAGGCGGGGACGCAAGUCAGAUGUGAAAACCACGGGCUAAA